This 516-nucleotide ribosomal RNA is filed under the name Pichia sp. 2 TMS-2011. Its description in RNAcentral is "eukaryotic LSU rRNA". The stretch from base 159 to 311 matches the Rfam family "5.8S ribosomal RNA". The record is from RNAcentral. Lineage: Eukaryota; Fungi; Ascomycota; Pichiomycetes; Pichiales; Pichiaceae.
UCUUGGUCAUUUAGAGGAAGUAAAAGUCGUAACAAGGUUUCCGUAGGUGAACCUGCGGAAGGAUCAUUACUGUGAUUAUACCAACACCACACUGUGUGGGCGCACAAAACACCUAAACCUGGAGUAUACACACGUCAACAAAAGAUCUAAAAGAAUAAAACUUUCAACAACGGAUCUCUUGGUUCUCGCAUCGAUGAAGAGCGCAGCGAAAUGCGAUACCUAGUGUGAAUUGCAGCCAUCGUGAAUCAUCGAGUUCUUGAACGCACAUUGCGCCCGUCGGUAUUCCGGCGGGCAUGCCUGUCUGAGCGUCGUUUCCUUCUUGUGCACCGGGGGUCUUUGCUGAUCUUCUGUGCGCAGAGCUGGCCGUGCCACUGGCCCGGCCGAAAAGAAACGUUGCGGACGAAGCGAACUACAUCGGGACGCUUUGGCCGCCGAGCGAAAAAACACCAUUGAGCUCGACCUCAGAUCAGGUAGGAGUACCCGCUGAACUUAAGCAUAUCAAUAAGCGGAGGAAGA